Molecule: long non-coding RNA, 272 nt
Filed under: Paramuricea clavata
Lineage: Eukaryota; Metazoa; Cnidaria; Anthozoa; Malacalcyonacea; Plexauridae
Source: RNAcentral
AGGUUAUUGGAGAGGGGCUUGAAGAGAAGGGGGCUAAAUAUAGAAAUUACAGUACCUGCAUUCCUUCCUCUCCCUUCCCAAACAUCUGCAGGAGAGGGGGCAACUGCAGGGGUUAAAGCAUGGAUUGCAAGGUUGAUGUAUAAUUUGCAUGUUAUGUACCUGGUAGUAUGGAGUAAUGAGCUAGUAAAUAUAUCCUUGCCUAUAAUUAGUUGCUGAUUAAAUGUUCAAAGAUACACAGUGUGAAGCAUGAAAAACAAAUGGAUACCCACUGC